AUUGAACGCUGGCGGCAUGCCUAACACAUGCAAGUCGAACGGAGUGGGGACGGGUGAGUAACACGUGGGUAACCUCCCAUCAGAGGGGAUAACACUUGGAAACUGGUGCUAAACCGAUACUGAUUGAUGAAUCCACGGGGCCUUAGCUAGUUGGUGAGGUAACGGCUCACCAAGGCCACGAGGCAUAGCCGACCUGAGAGGGUGAUCGGCCACACUGGGACUGAGACACGGCCCAGACUCCUACGGGAGGCAGCAGUAGGGAAUAUUCGGCAAUGGACGAAAGUCUGACCGAGCAACGCCGCGUGAGUGAAGAAGGUUUUCGGAUCGUAAAACUCUGUUGUUAGAGAAGCGGUAUCUAACCAGAAAGCCACGGCUAACUACGUGCCAGCAGCCGCGGUAAUUC
This 403-nucleotide ribosomal RNA is filed under the name uncultured bacterium. RNAcentral's name for it is "partial 16S ribosomal RNA". It matches the Rfam family "Bacterial small subunit ribosomal RNA", at positions 30 to 526 of the family's 1533-position model. The record is from RNAcentral.